ACUCAAAUGAAUUGACGGGGGCCCGCACAAGCGGUGGAGCAUGUGGUUUAAUUCGAUGCAACGCGAAGAACCUUACCUGGCCUUGACAUCCACGGAAUUCGGCAGAGAUGCCUUAGUGCCUUCGGGAACCGUGAGACAGGUGCUGCAUGGCUGUCGUCAGCUCGUGUUGUGAAAUGUUGGGUUAAGUCCCGCAACGAGCGCAACCCUUAUCCUUUGUUGCCAGCGAGUAAUGUCGGGAACUCAAAGGAGACUGCCGGUGACAAACCGGAGGAAGGUGGGGAUGACGUCAAGUCAUCAUGGCCCUUACGGCCAGGGCUACACACGUGCUACAAUGGCGCAUACAAAGAGAAGCGAACUCGCGAGAGCAAGCGGACCUCACAAAGUGCGUCGUAGUCCGGAUCGGAGUCUGCAACUCGACUCCGUGAAGUCGGAAUCGCUAGUAAUCGUAGAUCAGAAUGCUACGGUGAAUACGUUCCCGGGCCUUGUACACACCGCCCGU
This 499-nucleotide ribosomal RNA is filed under the name uncultured bacterium. RNAcentral describes it as "partial 16S ribosomal RNA". It matches the Rfam family "Bacterial small subunit ribosomal RNA", at positions 899 to 1397 of the family's 1533-position model. The record is from RNAcentral.